Molecule: unclassified non-coding RNA, 302 nt
Filed under: uncultured fungus
Lineage: Eukaryota; Fungi
Description: partial contains small subunit ribosomal RNA, internal transcribed spacer 1, and 5.8S ribosomal RNA
Rfam family: Eukaryotic small subunit ribosomal RNA (bases 1-73)
Source: RNAcentral
GCAAACUUGGUCAUUUAGAGGAAGUAAAAGUCGUAACAAGGUUUCCGUAGGUGAACCUGCGGAAGGAUCAUUACCGAGUGCGGGUUCCAACGAGCCCAACCUCCCACCCGUGUUUACCGUUACCGCGUUGCCUCGGCGGGCCCACUGGGGCCUGGCCCCGGUCGCCGGGGGGCACCUGCCCCCGGGCCCGUGCCCGCCGAAGCACCCUCGAACCCUGUCUGAAUAGUGAGUCUGAGUGAGAUUGAAUCAUUAAAACUUUCAACAACGGAUCUCUUGGUUCCAGCAUCGAUGAAGAACGCAGC